GGUCCUAUAACUCAGUUGGUUAGAGUAGCUGACUCAUAAUCAGCAAGUCGUUGGUUCGAGCCCAACUGGGACCACAA
RNAcentral lists this transfer RNA (77 nucleotides) under Flavobacteriaceae bacterium. Its description in RNAcentral is "tRNA-Met". It matches the Rfam family "tRNA". Rfam says of the family: Transfer RNA (tRNA) molecules are approximately 80 nucleotides in length. Their secondary structure includes four short double-helical elements and three loops (D, anti-codon, and T loops). The record is from RNAcentral. Lineage: Bacteria; Pseudomonadati; Bacteroidota; Flavobacteriia; Flavobacteriales; Flavobacteriaceae.